Marmota monax (woodchuck) is the source of this 9220-nucleotide long non-coding RNA. RefSeq lists it as uncharacterized. The record is from RefSeq and is a predicted model, not a curated record. Lineage: Eukaryota; Metazoa; Chordata; Mammalia; Rodentia; Sciuridae. The transcript has 4 exons.
GAAAGAAAUGUGAGGCUGUUCCUUUGAAAGCAUAUGUAUUUAAUAAAUUGCACUUCCUCAGAGACCAGCACAGAGUCCCUAGACGGCGGGCAGUGGAGAGGAGUGACCUCACUGGAUGGUGUACUUGCCCCAUACUUGAUCAUCUGAUCUUCAGGACCACACUGUAAGUGCUGCAAGGUUCUGAUGAUCAUGGAGUAGCAGAAGAGCAUGAUCCCCAAGGGGAUCACCAACCCAAAGAUGUUGAUCUCCAGGGAGCUGAGAACCUUCCACGUGGUGGAGUUGACAGAGUACUUGGUUUUGCAGAUGUGUGGACUUAGGCAAGAUGUGCUCAAGGGGAAGAGCCCUACAUGUAUGGCUACCCGUCAGAAGAGGGUUCCGAAGCGUGGGGACAGGUAGAGAGCAUAAGCAGAAAGCAGAGAAAAGUGACUCAUUUCCCAAAACUGAAGGUUAGGAAAAUUUGCUUUCUUCUGUAAGAGGAGAAAAUGGAGAGGAAAGCCAAGUAAGCUUUUUAAUUUUAAAAAUUUGUCGGAGGGGCUGGGGAGGUCGUUCAGUGAUAGAGCUUGCCUCAUAUGCAUGAGGCCCCAGGUUUGAUUUCCAGCACUGGGGGAAAAAAAGUUGGAACAUGGGGACAUAGUUUAGUGCUGGAGCUUCCCUAGCAUGCAUGAGGCCCAAGAUUUAAUCCUCACACACCAAUUUAUUUAUUGGCUUUUUGGGGAGGUGAGGUGGGGUUUAACCAGGGUUUGAACCCAGGGGCACUUAAUCAUUGAGCCUUAUCCCCAAGCCAUUUUGAUCUUUUAUUUUAAGACUAAGUUGCUGAACUUGCUAUCCUCUUGCCUCAGACUCCGGAGUAUCUGGGAUUACAGGUGUGCCCUCCCCACUAUUUGUUGACUUUUUUAAUGUAAAAGGAUUUUUUUUUCCUUCUAACUGGCUUAUAUGCUGUAGAAUGUUCCUUCUGUUUUGGGUCAUUAGGCUGAUAGUUUUUUCCUCUUCAUGAAUACACAAGGGCAGGUACUCAAGAUGUAUGAUAUUCUCUAAACAAGUGGGAUCUGAACCAGACUGAGAAGGCCAGGAAAACUCUAGGAAAAAGAUAUUCCAGAAUAGAGAAAAAUUUGUCCAAAUGAGGGUGUCUAUUUGUCCAAAUCUUCCCUGACUUGGACAAUUUUAGCCAACCACAUUCUUAGAUUCAAUUAUUUGUCUUCAAAGUUGUGUCAGUUGAACUUUCAAGUCCCUUCUGCUUGGAAACUGUGCCGUUUCACUGACUGAUUAAAUGAAAAUAGCUGAGCCUGAUAUGUUGCCCUGCCAUUACUGGACUCCCAAGAAAUAUCUGGGUGAGUCCCAUCAAUUUCUGUGUGUUUAGAUUCAAAGUAGGUUUCUAGCCAGGCAAGGUAGUGCAUACCUGUAAUCCUAACAACUUGGGAGUCAAGGAAGGAGGAUCACAAGUUCUGAGGCCAGUGUCAACCAAUUAGUGAGGCCCUAUCCAACUUAGUGAGACUCUGUCUCAAAAAAGUAUUGAGGAUGAAGCUCAGUGAUAAAGCGCCCCUGGGUUCAAUUCCAAGUACAAAAAGGCAAGUUUACAGACCCAGCUAUCCCACUCCUUGGUUUAUACCUAAAUGACUUAAAAACAGCACACUACAGAGACAGCCAUAUCAAUGUUUAUAGCAGCACAAUUGCUAAAUUGUGGAACCAACCCAGAUACCUUUCAGUAGAUGAAUGGAUAGGUAAACUUUGGUAUAUAUACACAAUGGAACAUUACUCAGCAUUUACAAGAGAAUAAAAUCAUGGCAUUUGCAGGUAAAUGGAUGGAGAAUAUAAUGGUACGUGAAGCAAGCCAAUCCCAAAAAACCAAAGGCCAAAAUAAAAUGUUUUCUUUGAUAUGAGGAUCCUGGGGAGGAAUGGAGGGCAAGGGGGUAGGAAUGAGUUAGACAUCAUUAACCUAAGUGCAUGUAUAAAGGUACCACUUUGUGUACAAUCAGUGACUUGAAAAAUUGUGCUCUAUAUGUGUAAUAUGAAAUGAACUGCAUUCUGCCCUCAUGCAUCACACAGUAGAAUAAAUAAUUUAAUAAAAAAGACAAGUUUAGAAAUUGUAGAGGUUACUUCUGUGUAGAAAAUUGGUCUUCAAAAGUAAACACCCUCCCUCAAAAAAAAGGUAUUAAGUUUUUAAGUAACAUCUAUUUCAUACAUGAGGAAGCAAACUCAAGAGAGGAAAGGUGGUAUGCCAUGACAUCACACCAGUCAGAGACACAGCUGGGCCAACACCCGCACUCCUGACAUCACGUUCUAUUGGGCUUCAUUUCAGAAACCUGAGCAGAACAAGACUCAGUGUAAACCCUGCCCCAAACUAUGAUCCACAGCACCUGUUGCCCAACAUGAGACCACAGCGACCCCUGGUGACCAGGCUUAUUGCAACACCAAGACAUCUGGUAAAUUCCCUAGCCAACAUGUACUAGACCAACAUCUCUGAAAUUGAAGCCAGAAACUCCCAAAGCUUUCAGGAAGAAUCUCAUAAGACUCUGCUGUAGAGUACCGUGUUAAAAUGAGAGAAAUGCGCCAGGCAGAGCUACACAGGAUGGUACCCAGGGACAAUGAGACAGUAAACAGAGUUUACAGUCAGCUCAUGUAUGGCAGGCGAGGUUAGUUGGGUUACAAGGGCCUUCCAUCCAUUGGCUAAUCUAAUAAUUUUGUGGGCUCAAAAUUAACCACAUGGCCCCAGGGACUUCAAGUUAGCACACAGUGGCCUCUGGUUAUGAGAACCUAAUAAGUGGAGGGGUUGGGUGUGUGGACUAAGCUGCUCUAAAAGGGAAACAUUACAGCCAGACAUGGUGGUAAAUACCUAAUCCCAGCAACUCUGGAGGCUGAGAUAGGAGGCAUGAAGUUCAAAGCCAGCCUCAGCAAUUGGACUGGGGAUGUAACUUAGUGGUAAACAAUCCUUGAGGUUCAAGCACCAGUUUAAAAAGAGUAGGGGGAAGCAGAGAGGGGUAGGCUACAAACCAAGACUACAAAACUGAUUCAUCUGAGUAAAGAGAACUUUGGUAAGGAAAUAAAAUAUUGCAAAUAGUUUUUGGAAAGAUAACACAUUUUCAUGUAAACCUGUAUGUCCAAGAAGAUUAAGAAAAACAGAAAACCUGUAACUGAUUAAUACUACUUACCAGAGUUGUGCUGAGCAUCUAAAGUUCUCAGAGAAUAAUUUAGACCUUAAGUGUUUAUAUUAGAAAAGAAGAAAGGCUAAAAGUUAGGGAGAAGGGUGUUUGACUGGAAAAGGAGGCAAGAGAAAAAUAACAGGGGACAAACCAUGGGGGUCAUAAGAAAGAAUAUAAGAGCAGAAAUUAAACAAGUUCAAAGGAAAAGAGACCCAUUAAAAUAUUUGAAAACACAAAUAAAACUGACAGACCUGUAAGGAAGUUAAAGGGGGGAAAAAACAACAAUUUUAGAAUGCAAAGGGAGAUAUGCAAUUUUAAAAAAAUAUUAUGAACUUUAUCACAAUAAAAGGUAGAUAAAUCUUACCAAAACUGGCUCAAAAAAUAUAUAUAAAAUCUGAUGAUUUUUAACAUCAUCCAGUAGUUUAAAUGCUUGACACAAGAGCAGAUUCAUACACACUCAAAAAAAGGUUCCACGAAUUCUAAGUAUCCAAGGUAUCUACGGUUUUAAUCUCAGGCAUCUUCCCUCCCCUUCUGAAAUAAAAAAAAAAUACUCUAAACUCAUUUGUUCAGUUAGUACUAUAAUUUUGAUAACAAAACUAGACAAAGUAGGAAAAACAUAAAAUUGUUCAAUUUCACUCAUGAAUAUAUAGGGCAAAUAUCCUAUAUGAAAUGUUAACCCAUAAUGAACAAGUUAGUGCAUUUCAGAAAAGCAAAGUUGAUUUAAUACUAGAACAUCUAAUUUAUGCCUAUCACCACAUUAACAGAGAAAAGCCAUGUGUCAUAGAAAGAGCCCUGAAUAAGAAAAAAAAAAAUCUAUCAUUUGUGACAAUAUAGAUGAACCUGAAAGACACAGAUAAGUGAAAUAAACCAGGCACAGAAAGACAUACUAUGAGGAGUCUAAAAAACGCAACUCAAAGAAGCAGAGAGUAGAAAAGUGAUUACCAGGGCUUGGAAGAGGGAGGAAGGACUGGGGAACGUUGGUCAAAGGCUACAAAUUUCAGUUGGGGGGAAAUAAGUGUAAGAUGUCUACAGUGCAAUAUGUUGACAAAUAUAUACUUGAAAAUUGCUAAGAGAUUUAAGUGUUCUCAACACACUUCAAAAAACUAUGAAGUAGUUAAUGCAUACGUAAAUUAGCAUGAUUAAACCUUUACACCAUGUAUACCAUAAAUAUAUAUAAUCUUUAUUAAAAAAAACAACAGUAUUGGUAAUUUAGGUGGUGGUAGGAUGGGAAGUCAGCUUCCUAAGCACAAAAAAGAAAUUUUACUUUAGAAGGUAACUUUUUAAAAAUGCUAAAAAUCCAACAAACCUGCUAUCCAAUUGUAAACAGCAAAAGUCAUUCCUUUAAAAAUUAGGACCAUGGCUGGGCGUGGUAACACAUGCCUAUGAUCUAGCAGCUGGGGAGGUUGAGGCAGGAGAAUUGCAAGUUCAAAGCCAGCCUCAGCAAAAGCAAGGCGCUAAGCAAUGCAGCAAGACCCUGUCUCCAAAGAAAAUACAAAAUAGGGCUGGAAAUGUGGCUGAGUGGUUGAGAACUCGAGUUCAAUCCCUAGUACCCCUCACCAAAAAAAAAAAUAUUAGGACCAUGACUGUGAUGCCCACCACCAAUUCUAUUAUAGCCAGUAGGAAAAUAUAAGAGUUAAGAAGAUAUAAUGAAUUCAACAAAUUAAACAAAAAUCAGAUAUACUUAACAGUGAACAAAGCCUUUUUAAAAUUUUCAUUUAAAAUAACAGAACAAAAAGCUUAAAAAUAAAAGGAGAUGAAAGGCUUGUAUUCUGAAAACUACAAAAUGUUGUUGGAAGAAAUAAAAGUUACAAGUAAAUGAGGAAAUGACCCAUGCUUACAGACUGGAAGAUUUAGUAUAGUAUUACCCAAAGUGAUCUAAAGAUUCAGUGGCAUCCCUACCACAAUCUCAACAUCACUUUUUCCACAAAUAGAAAAAUCCAUCUUAAAAUUCAUAUAAAAUCUCAAGGGGCCUGCAGAGCCAAAACAAUCUUGACCUAUACUUCCUGGUUUCAAAACUUAUUACAAAAAGCCAUGUUAAUCCAAAUAAUGUGAAACUGGCACAAACACAGACACAGAAAUGGAAUACUCAGAAACCCUCACAAGUAUGGUCAAAUCUCUUUUUGCAUUGUCUUUAUUUCAUCCCAUUCCCUCUGUAUAGUAAUGAUGUCACUUAGUACAUUCUCUGGGGGAUGUGGUCAAAUUAGCUUUGAGAAGGGUGCCAAGAUUAUUCAAUAGGGAAAAGACAAGUCUUUCAAUAAAUGGUGUUAAGAAAACUGGAGCUCCAAACGCAAAAGAAUAAAGUUGAAUGCUUACCUUACACAAAUAACAGCUAAACUAUAAAACUUGGGGAAAGAAAUAUAAGGGAAAAAGCUUCAUGCUAAUGAAUUUCACAAUGAUUUCUUGUACCAAAAGUACAGAUAACAAAAGGAAAAACAGAUGAACUGAACUGCAUCAAAAUUUAAAAUUUCACCACAUGGUGGCGCUCACCUGCAACUGAGUGGUAGGGCUCUUGUGGAGCAUGCAAGAGGCCCUGGGUUCAAUCCCCAGUGACACUAGAAAGAAAAGGACAAAGACUUUUUGAUUUGGUGAAUUUUAACCAGGUUGAGUUUUUUAAGAGAGAAUGAGAGAGAGAGAGAGAGAGAGACAAUUUUUUUAAUAUUUUUUAGUUUUUGGGCGGACACAACAUCUUUCUUUUUAUGUGGUGCUGAGGAUCGAACCCGGGUCGCACGCAUGCCAGGCGAGCGUGCUACCGCUUGAGCCACAUCCCCAGCCUCCAGGUUGCGUUUUCAAGAAAAUUUUUUAAUAAACAGCCAGGUGCGGUGGCACGCACUUCUAAUCCCAGUGGCUUGGGAGGCUGAGGCAGGAGGAAUGCAAGUUCAAAGCCAGCAGCAGCAACUUGGUGAGAUCCUAAGCAACUUAGCAAGUAAAAAUAUCUGGGGAGGUGGCUCAGUGGUUAAGUGCCACUGGGUUCAAUCCCUCGUGCCAAUUUUUUUUUUUUUUAAAGUUUCUGUGCAUAAAAGGAUAUGAUCAAAAAAGUGAAAAGGUGGGUUGGGGUUGUAGCUCAGUGGUAGAGCGCUUGCCUCACAUGUGCGAGGCCUUGGGUUCGAUCCUCAGCACCACAUAAAAAUAAAUAAAAAUAAAGAUUUUUUUAAAAAGUGAAAAGGCAAUCUGCAGAACGGGGGUAAAUAUUUGCAAAUCAUAUCUGAUAAGUGGUUAAUAUGCAAAAUAUUUAAAGAAACCCUACAACAAGAAAGACAACCUGAUAUAAGAAUAAAAUAAAGUAUCCAGAAAUGAACUUCAGCAACUAGUCCAAAAACAGAUUGAAGCAUUUUAUCACAUUCUAGUCUCCAGAUUGAAACCUACUGUGUGAAAUUCAGAAUUUUUUAGUCCCCCUUGGGAACCUGAAAUGGAAAGAACUGCUCUCUCCAUACCUGCUAACAUCAAAAUGUUCCAUCACCUAAGGUUAGUCCUUCAGAACAUAUCCUUUGUACCACUGCCCACUCCAUGCCCACCUGAUUCACAUGCAGACCACUGAAUCCCAUUCCAUAAUAACCAAUUCCCUCUUUCUGCCUUUCAGUGUGCCCUGACAGACUCUUCCUCCUUCCUGAACCCAUUUCAAUAUUCAGCACAAAUGUGUAUAUUUCAAGAGUAUAAUCAAUAGGCUGGGAAUGUAACUCAGUGGUCGAGGGCUUGCUUACAUGUAUAAGGCCCUGGGUUCCAUCCCCAACAACAACAAAAUAGAUUAUAGCAUUGUAACACUGCUAUAUUGUACAUGAAGGGACAAUGGGGAAUAGGCACCACAGGGAUUUUUAAUAUAGAGAUUUAGCCAGGCGAGCCGGUGAACACCUGUAAUCCCAGUGGCUCAAGAGGCUGAGGCAGGAGGAUUUCAAUUUCAAAGCCAGCCUAAGCAACUUAGCGAAGCACUAAGCAACUCACAGUUACACUCUGUCUCUAAAUAAUAUACAAAAAGGACUGGGGAUAUGGCUCAGUGGUUAAAUGCCCCUGAGUUCAAUCCCUGGUGCCAAAAGAGAGAAAGGGAAGGGGGAGGGAAGGAGGGAGGGAGAGAGAGAAGCUUAGUUGUCAUACUAUCAAGAAGGUGAUAUGAAGAGUUCUGAGGGAGCUGGCAAGAAAUUUUGUUCCUGCAGCUCUGAGACUCCUUGGUGGGACCUGUGGAGGCAAUAAGUACCAUGGUGAUUGGCAGACAGACUAUAGAGGAACAUCAUCAUCUGUGGCUGCCUUCCCCCACCCCCCAGGGUGAAAGGAGGAGAAAAACCUAUCAGAAAAUAAUGGUGCCACCUUGAACAAAAUAACAGGCAUGUCCCACCACGCUACUCAGCUAAGAUAUAUUUCUUUGAUUCUCUUGGUUUACCCGAUAGGGAACAGAAGAAGAAAUGUCAUUAACUACUGUUGACAAAUGAUUCCUCUUGCAUAUAGUUAAUUGAGAAGUGGGACCAAUUUGGUCAAGGUUCAGUCAAGCUGAAUUUUAAGAAAAUGUGAAGUUUUCUACAUUUCAUUACACAAUGUCAAAAUCUCACUGUAUACUUUUCUGUUACUGCUGUAACAAAUUGCCACAAACUCAGAGGAUUAAACAACAUCUGUUUCCAUGCAUUUUCCAGCUUGCUGAGACCACCAACCUUCCACAGUCUGUGGGCUCUUCCAGAUUCCGUCAGCACUGCAGCUUCUUCUCUCCCCUGGCAUCAAAAUGUUCCAUCGCCUACCUUCAUUUUAUUAAAAAAACCCUGUGGGUGACAUCUGGCCCACCCAGAUCAUCCAGGAUGAUUUCCCUUUCUCCAAGUCCUUAAUUUAGUAAUUUCUGCAAAUUCCUUUUGAAUGUAAAGCAGCACAUUCACAGGUUCUGGAGAUAAGGACAUGGACAUCUUUAUGGGCUCCAAUCCUGUAUCACAUCACAUUGAGCAAUAUUACCACUGACACCAGAAAACUCUUACUCAAAAAUUAUUAUAUUCAUACUAACAGAUGCAAGUUCUCCAAGAUUGUAAUUUUUGCUUGAAAGCUCAGUGGGUUUUAUUUUGUUUUGUUUUGUUGUUGUUGUUAACCAAGGAUUGAACCCAGGGAUGCUUAACCACUGAACCACAUUCCCGGUAGAGACUGGGUCUCACUGAGUUGCUCAGCACCUCACUUUUUGCUGAAGCUGGCUUUGAACUAGCGAUUCUCCUGUCUCAGCCUCCCAAACCACUGGGAUUACAGGCAUAUGCCAACACGCCAGGUGAAUGCUCAGUUUUUAUCAUUGGCAAUAGUCAAUGGUUUCACUUAAAAUGACAAGCUUGCUUCAUUGAUUUUCAAUAUCUAUUGAAUAAAAUUGUGGUUAUUUCAUGUAAGAUGAAAAUUCCAUAAGAAUUCAAGGGUAGAGAUAACAAAUUUUUGUUUUUACUAAGAUUAUUAAGUAAAAUUGGUACUAGGAGAACAGAGCAAAAAAGAGUUAACAUUUUUGAGUACAAUUUGAAGGCACUGAAUUAAUUUGUCCAAAGAUCCCAGCAUUUUUGGCCUGCAACUGCUUUUGCAUCCUCAGAACAAAGACAAAGAGUGAAGAACAAAGUUAUAGUGUCAGUAUGAAUAUUAAUUUGAUAUCAGAUCCCCUGGAAAGAGUGGCAAAGACCUACCACCUCCUACCCUCACCAGGGGUCUAUGAGCCAUAUCACACCUUGAAAAUUGCUAUUUACAGAAAUAAAACCUGCCAGCAGAUGGCAGUAGGUACAGUAGCAUUUCCCAAUUUGCAUUAACCAUUAUUUAGGAAAGUGAUUUCAUUAAAAAGGAAUUUAAAUUUUUGCCUUAAAGUUCAAAGAUAGCAUCUCUUUGCAGAAAUUAAACUAGACCAAAUAAAUCCAUGAAACAGGUGCUACUUCAGCUUACAACUCAAUGACCCAACAACUUUAAGUACUACAGGCCUCUCACUUUGUCACGCAGAACACAAAAAAUAGUACAUAGCCUUGGUACAGGAACUCUGCCAUUUUACUAAAUAGUGCAAAAUUCAAAAAAGUGUUCUGCCAACUAAAAUUACUCUAAAAUUGAAGCAUUUCCCUUAAAGAAUCAUGUACAGAGUUUAAUAAAACAUUUUUUCAAUUAAA